This 1419-nucleotide ribosomal RNA is filed under the name uncultured Bacilli bacterium. Its description in RNAcentral is "bacterial SSU rRNA". It matches the Rfam family "Bacterial small subunit ribosomal RNA", at positions 29 to 1403 of the family's 1533-position model. Lineage: Bacteria; Bacillati; Bacillota; Bacilli. The record is from RNAcentral.
AUGAACGCUGGCGGCGUACCUAAUACAUGCAAGUCGAACGCUUUGUGGUUCAACUGAUUUGAAGAGCUUGCUCAGAUAUGACGAUGGACAUUGCAAAGAGUGGCGAACGGGUGAGUAACACGUGGGAAACCUACCUCUUAGCAGGGGAUAACAUUUGGAAACAGAUGCUAAUACCGUAUAACAAUGACAACCGCAUGGUUGUUAUUUAAAAGAUGGUUCUGCUAUCACUAAGAGAUGGUCCCGCGGUGCAUUAGCUAGUUGGUAAGGUAAUGGCUUACCAAGGCGAUGAUGCAUAGCCGAGUUGAGAGACUGAUCGGCCACAAUGGGACUGAGACACGGCCCAUACUCCUACGGGAGGCAGCAGUAGGGAAUCUUCCACAAUGGGCGAAAGCCUGAUGGAGCAACGCCGCGUGUGUGAUGAAGGGUUUCGGCUCGUAAAACACUGUUGUAAGAGAAGAAUGACAUUGAGAGUAACUGUUCAAUGUGUGACGGUAUCUUACCAGAAAGGAACGGCUAAAUACGUGCCAGCAGCCGCGGUAAUACGUAUGUUCCAAGCGUUAUCCGGAUUUAUUGGGCGUAAAGCGAGCGCAGACGGUUAUUUAAGUCUGAAGUGAAAGCCCUCAGCUCAACUGAGGAAUUGCUUUGGAAACUGGAUGACUUGAGUGCAGUAGAGGAAAGUGGAACUCCAUGUGUAGCGGUGAAAUGCGUAGAUAUAUGGAAGAACACCAGUGGCGAAGGCGGCUUUCUGGACUGUAACUGACGUUGAGGCUCGAAAGUGUGGGUAGCAAACAGGAUUAGAUACCCUGGUAGUCCACACCGUAAACGAUGAGUGCUAGGUGUUUGAGGGUUUCCGCCCUUAAGUGCCGCAGCUAACGCAUUAAGCACUCCGCCUGGGGAGUACGACCGCAAGGUUGAAACUCAAAGGAAUUGACGGGGACCCGCACAAGCGGUGGAGCAUGUGGUUUAAUUCGAAGCAACGCGAAGAACCUUACCAGGUCUUGACAUCCCUUGACAACUCCAGAGAUGGAGCGUUCCCUUCGGGGACAAGGUGACAGGUGGUGCAUGGUUGUCGUCAGCUCGUGUCGUGAGAUGUUGGGUUAAGUCCCGCAACGAGCGCAACCCUUAUUACUAGUUGCCAGCAUUCAGUUGGGCACUCUAGUGAGACUGCCGGUGACAAACCGGAGGAAGGUGGGGAUGACGUCAAAUCAUCAUGCCCCUUAUGACCUGGGCUACACACGUGCUACAAUGGCGUAUACAACGAGUUGCCAACCCGCGAGGGUGAGCUAAUCUCUUAAAGUACGUCUCAGUUCGGAUUGUAGGCUGCAACUCGCCUACAUGAAGUCGGAAUCGCUAGUAAUCGCGGAUCAGCACGCCGCGGUGAAUACGUUCCCGGGUCUUGUACACACCGCCCGUCAAGGG